Drosophila melanogaster (fruit fly) is the source of this 1199-nucleotide non-coding RNA. Lineage: Eukaryota; Metazoa; Arthropoda; Insecta; Diptera; Drosophilidae. The record is from Ensembl.
UUCAUCUUCAAAAAAAUAUAAAUAAAAUCUUUAGACAUGUACCUAAAUUAUAAAAACAAAUAAAUAUUUUCCGAUGCCUACAAUAGAUUUUCAUUGAGUUCUGAAAAAAAAAGGAAAUUAUGCUGCCGCAUGCUGUAGUUGAAGCUAUCAUAUCUACAAAAACGAGUUACGAAAUGUAAAAAUAGAAUAUCCAUAUGGAACUAUCUUUUUUACACGCAUGACAAUUCUAAAAUGCCUUUGAAUGAAAUUCCAUCUGAUUGCGGAGGAGUUUCUGUUGGAAGUGUUCCUUGUAGAUGAUAUCUACAUCCAUAUUAAGAUUGGUAUUGUACCGCCACUAUGGACUAUUCAAAUAACCUUUUCCUAGAGUCAUGACAUUAGAAGGGCCUACUCAAAUGGAACCUUGCGAAUCGCAUGCACAAACGGAAAACCACUUACUGGGUCAACUCAAUGGUGGCCUUGCGGCUCAGCGCCCAGCUGCGUCGCUGCUUGGGAUCCUUAGGCACAUCGGUGGCGUUCUCGUACCUGGGCCAGAUACAAAAGCGAUUGUCAUUGUAUCAAUAUCAAAUUAAGAUAAGCCGGAGCAAUCGACCUUACCCCAGAAAGUACAGCGAGAACUUGGCCUCGGGGAAGUCCAGUUUCACCAGCAAGGUCAUCCCGAGGACGCCCGUGUAGAAAGGCAGCGACUUGCGUGGAUCCUUGAUGCGGUACAUGGUUUGCUGGAAGAGGAAGUCCUGCGCCGCCGACAGCGGGUUAGUUGCGUUGCGCGAUGGCGCGGUCUGCCCGACUGGAACCCACUCACCUUGGUGGACGAAUCCGGCUUCUGGCACAGCUCGUCCGCCUGGGCAUUGCUCAGUCCUGUCACGUCGCCCAUUCCGAUGCUUUAAGGCAAUUAACCAACCACCUGUUGAUAAAAUCCGCGAGGGAAUUGCCAGUGUGACCCUCGCUCAGCCGGUGAAACGUACCAUCGGGCGGCGAAAAUGUGCACACAAUUUUAUCGCCAAAAAAGUAAGGUGGGGCUGCGAACCAACUAAUUUAUACCCUCGCAUUUAUAUGAAAUCAAACCACCUCUACUCUGAAAUAUUGUGUAAAACCAGAAAUCCAUUUCUGUGCAUAAUUCUCAUUAUUCACUUUAAAGUGCAAAGUAUAUAAAGCAUAAUGUGCCCAUUGCACAUUAUUCUUAUUGAAUAAAUAAAGCAACU